This 387-nucleotide unclassified non-coding RNA is filed under the name Canavalia reflexiflora. Its description in RNAcentral is "partial external transcribed spacer". Lineage: Eukaryota; Viridiplantae; Streptophyta; Magnoliopsida; Fabales; Fabaceae. The record is from RNAcentral.
UGUGCAUCGAACGGUUGGCAUGCUGUCUUUAUUAUCACCAUAUGCUCAUAGCAUUUUGGUGUUUCUCUUGGGUUCCUGUGUUGCCUACUGUUGAAAUAGUAUUAUUGUGGCUUAGAAUAUAUGUUCCAUUUAGAUCUCCUUGUAGGGAUGAUGGUGGAUUUUGAUGCAAUGCAUGCAUUCCAUCUUAGGUUUGCAUUGUGCAGCUUUUAUGGUAUGCAUGUAGUUGUUGUUCUUUUGGAUACGGUGCAUGCAAUGAAUGUGGCUUAAAUUGUCCCAUUUAGUUCUUCAAAUUAUGGUUGCCUUGGAAGACUUUUGCCCUUGGUGCUUGUUUUAUUUUUCGUUCAAGAAGAUAAUGCUUGUACCAUGAGCUUGGUCAUCGAUGGAUGC